Molecule: ribosomal RNA, 970 nt
Filed under: Staphylococcus aureus
Lineage: Bacteria; Bacillati; Bacillota; Bacilli; Caryophanales; Staphylococcaceae
Description: bacterial SSU rRNA
Rfam family: Bacterial small subunit ribosomal RNA
Source: RNAcentral
CGGCGUGCCUAAUACAUGCAAGUCGAGCGAACGGACGAGAAGCUUGCUUCUCUGAUGUUAGCGGCGGACGGGUGAGUAACACGUGGAUAACCUACCUAUAAGACUGGGAUAACUUCGGGAAACCGUAGCUAAUACCGGAUAAUAUUUUGAACCGCAUGGUUCAAAAGUGAAAGACGGUCUUGCUGUCACUUAUAGAUGGAUCCGCGCUGCAUUAGCUAGUUGGUAAGGUAACGGCUUACCAAGGCAACGAUGCAUAGCCGACCUGAGAGGGUGAUCGGCCACACUGGAACUGAGACACGGUCCAGACUCCUACGGGAGGCAGCAGUAGGGAAUCUUCCGCAAUGGGCGAAAGCCUGACGGAGCAACGCCGCGUGAGUGAUGAAGGUCUUCGGAUCGUAAAACUCUGUUAUUAGGGAAGAACAUAUGUGUAAGUAACUGUGCACAUCUUGACGGUACCUAAUCAGAAAGCCACGGCUAACUACGUGCCAGCAGCCGCGGUAAUACGUAGGUGGCAAGCGUUAUCCGGAAUUAUUGGGCGUAAAGCGCGCGUAGGCGGUUUUUUAAGUCUGAUGUGAAAGCCCACGGCUCAACCGUGGAGGGUCAUUGGAAACUGGAAAACUUGAGUGCAGAAGAGGAAAGUGGAAUUCCAUGUGUAGCGGUGAAAUGCGCAGAGAUAUGGAGGAACACCAGUGGCGAAGGCGACUUUCUGGUCUGUAACUGACGCUGAUGUGCGAAAGCGUGGGGAUCAAACAGGAUUAGAUACCCUGGUAGUCCACGCCGUAAACGAUGAGUGCUAAGUGUUAGGGGGUUUCCGCCCCUUAGUGCUGCAGCUAACGCAUUAAGCACUCCGCCUGGGGAGUACGACCGCAAGGUUGAAACUCAAAGGAAUUGACGGGGACCCGCACAAGCGGUGGAGCAUGUGGUUUAAUUCGAAGCAACGCGAAGAACCUUACCAAAUCUUGACAUCCUU